CCUACGGGUGGCUGCAGUGAGGGAUAUUGGUCAAUGGGGGAAACCCUGAACCAGCAACGCCGCGUGAGGGAAGACGGUUUUCGGAUUGUAAACCUCUGUCCUCUGUGAAGAUAAUGACGGUAACAGAGGAGAAAGCCCCGGCUAACGACGUGCCAGCAGCCGCGGUAAUACGUAGGGGGCGAGCGUUAUCCGGAUUCACUGGGUGUAAAGGGAGCGUAGACGGCCAUGCAAGCCAGGGGUGAAAGCCCGGGGCCCAACCCUGGGACUGCGCUUGGAACUGCAUGGCUGGAGUGCGGGAGGGGUAGGAGGAAUUCCUGGUGUAGCGGUGAAAUGCGUAGAUAUGAGGAGGAACACCGGUGGCGAAGGCGGCUUGCUGGACCGAGACUGACGUUGAGGCUCGAAAGCGUGGGGAGCGAACAGGAUUAGAUACCCGUGUAGUC
This 440-nucleotide ribosomal RNA is filed under the name uncultured bacterium. Its description in RNAcentral is "partial 16S ribosomal RNA". It matches the Rfam family "Bacterial small subunit ribosomal RNA", at positions 338 to 795 of the family's 1533-position model. The record is from RNAcentral.